GGAGGAUCUCUGUCAAGAUAAUGGUGCUUACACUGCCACCACGGAAUGAGAAGCAGGUGACUCACUACUGAUCAUCUGCUGCUCACUCACUUCCACUGCAGAGGAACUGUGCUCCCCACAAAUAGUUGGCUCCCAGCACAGAGCAGUGGGGCCUGGUUGGAGAGUGAGCUCAUUGGGAGCCGAGUCAGAGCUGAACUUGGAAGAAGUGAAGUGCAAGAUAAAUCAUCCAUAGAUUUCAUUUCCUGAAUAAGAAGGAAGCUUUCAGAAGAAGGGAAUAUGAAUGACGCAGGUCUUUAAAAUAGGUGGAAGAAACACAAAUCGGUGUGUCGGAGAGAACGUCGGACUGCAAACUUAAGGCCAGAACCACGCGUUCUCAUCAGUGACGGCAAGAAUGAGGGGAGAUGAUGUUCGCCUCAAGUGCGAGUUGGGGAUUGAAGGGAAGGUGCAUAGAGUGCUAGUCCACGUCACUCAUCAUAUAAUCUGCUCUCCACUGUCUUCACCCUGUUCACUGUCCCUGGAGACUGACUUGUGUGGACCACACCAACAGGCACCCUUGCACUUUGUCUGAUGGUUUAGUGCAGCCAAUCAGGACCUCCAAAGGGAAUCAAAGAGAGGAAGGGAAGUGACGGUAAGGAAUUACUUCCCUUCUCAUCUUUCUGUAGGGCCUCCAUCUAGCUCUGUUACCCAACGCAAGGUCACUGCUCCUCACAUGGUGACCAGUUCUAGAUGACUUUUUCCUUCAGGAUUCACACAACUCUUCCUCCCUCAUCUCUUUGGGUUUAGGGGUGAUGACCCUCUUUCCUUAUUAACCUUAGGGUGUUGCACCGUGCUUUGUGUUUU
Long non-coding RNA from Herpailurus yagouaroundi (jaguarundi), 840 nucleotides. RefSeq lists it as uncharacterized. The transcript is spliced from 3 exons. The record is from RefSeq and is a predicted model, not a curated record. Lineage: Eukaryota; Metazoa; Chordata; Mammalia; Carnivora; Felidae.